AUUGAACGCUGGCGGCAUGCUUUACACAUGCCAGUCGAACGGUAACAGCACUUCGGUGGCUGACGAGUGGCGCACGGGUGAGUAAUACAUCGGAACGUGCCUAGUAGUGGGGGAUAACUACUCGAAAGAGUAGCUAAUACCGCAUGAGAUCUAAGGAUGAAAGCAGGGGACCUUCGGGCCUUGCGCUACUAGAGCGGCUGAUGGCAGAUUAGGUAGUUGGUGGGAUAAAAGCUUACCAAGCCGACGAUCUGUAGCUGGUCUGAGAGGACGACCAGCCACACUGGGACUGAGACACGGCCCAGACUCCUACGGGAGGCAGCAGUGGGGAAUUUUGGACAAUGGGCGCAAGCCUGAUCCAGCAAUGCCGCGUGCAGGAUGAAGGCCUUCGGGUUGUAAACUGCUUUUGUACGGAACGAAAAGCCCUCUUCUAAUACAGGAGGGUCAUGACGGUACCGUAAGAAUAAGCACCGGCUAACUACGUG
Molecule: ribosomal RNA, 482 nt
Filed under: uncultured bacterium
Lineage: Bacteria
Description: partial 16S ribosomal RNA
Rfam family: Bacterial small subunit ribosomal RNA
Source: RNAcentral